GAUGAACGCUGGCGGCGUGCCUAAUACAUGCAAGUCGAGCGAACAGACGAGGAGCUUGCUCCUCUGACGUUAGCGGCGGACGGGUGAGUAACACGUGGAUAACCUACCUAUAAGACUGGGAUAACUUCGGGAAACCGGAGCUAAUACCGGAUAAUAUAUUGAACCGCAUGGUUCAAUAGUGAAAGACGGUUUUGCUGUCACUUAUAGAUGGAUCCGCGCCGCAUUAGCUAGUUGGUAAGGUAACGGCUUACCAAGGCGACGAGGCGUAGCCGACCUGAGAGGGUGAUCGGCCACACUGGAACUGAGACACGGUCCAGACUCCUACGGGAGGCAGCAGUAGGGAAUCUUCCGCAAUGGGCGAAAGCCUGACGGAGCAACGCCGCGUGAGUGAUGAAGGUCUUCGGAGCGUAAAACUCUGUUAUUAGGGAAGAACAAAUGUGUAAGUAACUAUGCACGUCUUGACGGUACCUAAUCAGAAAGCCACGGCUAACUACGUG
Molecule: ribosomal RNA, 497 nt
Filed under: uncultured bacterium
Lineage: Bacteria
Description: partial 16S ribosomal RNA
Rfam family: Bacterial small subunit ribosomal RNA
Source: RNAcentral